UACGUAUGGUGCAAGCGUUAUCCGGAUUUACUGGGUGUAAAGGGAGCGCAGGCGGCACGGCAAGCCUGAUGUGAAAGCCCGCGGCCCAACCGCGGGGCUGCAUUGGGAACUACCGGGCUGGAGUGCCGGAGAGGUAGGCGGAAUUCCUAGUGUAGCGGUGAAAUGCGUAGAUAUUAGGAGGAACACCAGUGGCGAAGGCGGCCUACUGGACGGUGACUGACGCUGAGGCUCGAAAGCGUGGGGAGCAAACAGG
This 253-nucleotide ribosomal RNA is filed under the name uncultured bacterium. Its description in RNAcentral is "partial 16S ribosomal RNA". It matches the Rfam family "Bacterial small subunit ribosomal RNA", at positions 524 to 776 of the family's 1533-position model. The record is from RNAcentral.